GAUGAACGCUGGCGGCGUGCUUAACACAUGCAAGUCGAACGAAGCACUUUAUUUGAUUUCCUUCGGGACUGAUUAUUUUGUGACUGAGUGGCGGACGGGUGAGUAACGCGUGGGUAACCUGCCUUGUACAGGGGGAUAACAGUUGGAAACGGCUGCUAAUACCGCAUAAGCGCACAGCAUCGCAUGAUGCAGUGUGAAAAACUCCGGUGGUAUAAGAUGGACCCGCGUUGGAUUAGCUAGUUGGUGAGGUAACGGCCCACCAAGGCGAUGAUCCAUAGCCGACCUGAUAGGGUGACCGGCCACAUUGGGACUGAGACACGGCCCAAACUCCUACGGGAGGCAGCAGUGGGGAAUAUUGCACAAUGGGCGAAAGCCUGAUGCAGCGACGCCGCGUGAGCGAAGAAGUAUUUCGGUAUGUAAAGCUCUAUCAGCAGGGAAGAUAAUGACGUUACCUGACUAAGAAGCACCGGCUAAAUACGUG
Molecule: ribosomal RNA, 481 nt
Filed under: uncultured bacterium
Lineage: Bacteria
Description: partial 16S ribosomal RNA
Rfam family: Bacterial small subunit ribosomal RNA
Source: RNAcentral